Molecule: transfer RNA, 76 nt
Filed under: Gammaproteobacteria bacterium
Lineage: Bacteria; Pseudomonadati; Pseudomonadota; Gammaproteobacteria
Also listed under: 1 other name
Description: tRNA-Glu
Rfam family: tRNA
About the family: Transfer RNA (tRNA) molecules are approximately 80 nucleotides in length. Their secondary structure includes four short double-helical elements and three loops (D, anti-codon, and T loops). Further hydrogen bonds mediate the characteristic L-shaped molecular structure. tRNAs have two regions of fundamental functional importance: the anti-codon, which is responsible for specific mRNA codon recognition, and the 3' end, to which the tRNAs corresponding amino acid is attached (by aminoacyl-tRNA synthetases). tRNAs cope with the degeneracy of the genetic code in two manners: having more than one tRNA (with a specific anti-codon) for a particular amino acid; and 'wobble' base-pairing, i.e. permitting non-standard base-pairing at the 3rd anti-codon position.
Source: RNAcentral
GUCCCCUUCGUCUAGUGGCCCAGGACACUGGGUUUUCAUCCCAGCAACAGGGGUUCGACUCCCCUAGGGGACGCCA